RNAcentral lists this ribosomal RNA (576 nucleotides) under uncultured Alphaproteobacteria bacterium. Its description in RNAcentral is "bacterial SSU rRNA". It matches the Rfam family "Bacterial small subunit ribosomal RNA", at positions 28 to 652 of the family's 1533-position model. Lineage: Bacteria; Pseudomonadati; Pseudomonadota; Alphaproteobacteria. The record is from RNAcentral.
AACGAACGCUGGCUGUGCCUAACACAUGCAAGUCGAACGAACCCUUCGGGGUUAGUGGCGCACGGGUGCGUAACGCGUGGGAAUCUGCCCUUUGCUUCGGAAUAACAGUUAGAAAUGACUGCUAAUACCGGAUGAUGUCUUCGGACCAAAGAUUUAUCGGCAAAGGAUGAGCCCGCGUAGGAUUAGGUAGUUGGUGGGGUAAAGGCCUACCAAGCCGACGAUCCUUAGCUGGUCUGAGAGGAUGAUCAGCCACACUGGGACUGAGACACGGCCCAGACUCCUACGGGAGGCAGCAGUGGGGAAUAUUGGACAAUGGGCGAAAGCCUGAUCCAGCAAUGCCGCGUGAGUGAUGAAGGCCUUAGGGUCGUAAAGCUCUUUUACCCGGGAUGAUAAUGACAGUACCGGGAGAAUAAGCCCCGGCUAACUCCGUGCCAGCAGCCGCGGUAAUACGGAGGGGGCUAGCGUUGUUCGGAAUUACUGGGCGUAAAGCGUACGUAGGCGGUUAUUCAAGUCAGAGGUGAAAGCCCGGGGCUCAACCCCGGAACGGNCUUUGAAACUAGGUAGCUAGAGUCUUGG